UUCCGAGUGUAGCGGUGAAAUGCGUAGAUAUUCGGAGGAACACCAAUUGCGAAGGCAGCUCACUGGGCCGCUAUCGACGCUGAGGAGCGAAAGCUAGGGGAGCAAACAGGAUUAGAUACCCUGGUAGUCCUAGCUGUAAACGAUGGAUACUAGACGUAGGAACUGGAUUGACGGUUUCUGUGUCGUAGCUAACGCGUUAAGUAUCCCGCCUGGGGAGUACGGUCGCAAGACUAAAACUCAAAGGAAUUGACGGGACCCCGCACAAGCGGCGGAGCAUGCGGCUUAAUUCGAUGAUACCCGUAGAACCUUACCUGGACUUGACAUAUAGGGUCUAGCUAUAGAGAUAUAGUGUGCAUUAGCGCCCUAUACAGGUGGUGCAUGGCUGCCGUCAGCUCGUGUCGUGAGAUGUUGGGUUAAGUCCCGCAACGAGCGCAACCCCUGUCCUAUGUUGCCAGCAUUUAGUUGGGGACUCAUAGGAGACUGCCGGUGAUAAACCGGAGGAAGGUGGGGACGACGUCAAGUCAUCAUGCCCCUUAUGUCCAGGGCUGCACGCAUGCUACAAUGGCAAGUACAACGAGUCGCAAUACCGCGAGGUGGAGCAAAUCUCUUAAAGCUUGUCUCAGUUCGGAUAGGAGUCUGCAACUCGACUCCUUGAAGUUGGAGUCGCUAGUAAUCGCAAAUCAGCAAAGUUGCGGUGAAUACGUUCUCGGGGUUUGUACACACCGCCCGUCAAGUCACGGAAGUCGGCAAUACCCGAAGCCAGUGGUCCAACCCUUUUAGGGAGGAAGCUGUCGAAGGUAGGGUCGGUAACUGGGACUAAGUCGUAACAAGGUAACC
This 837-nucleotide ribosomal RNA is filed under the name uncultured marine microorganism. RNAcentral describes it as "bacterial SSU rRNA". It matches the Rfam family "Bacterial small subunit ribosomal RNA", at positions 667 to 1501 of the family's 1533-position model. The record is from RNAcentral.